GAUGAAGAACGUAGCGAAAUGCGAUACUUGGUGUGAAUUGCAGAAUCCCGUGAACCAUCGAGUCUUUGAACGCAAGUUGCGCCCGAAGCCAUCAGGUUGAGGGCACGUCUGCCUGGGCGUCACAUAUCGUUGCCCAAUGCCUAUUGCAGCGCAAUAGGAAUUUCUAGGGCGAAUGAUGGCUUCCCGUGAGCGUUGUUGCCUCGCGGUUGGUUGAAAAUCGAGUCCUUGGUAGGGUGUGCCAUGGUAGAUGGUGGUCGAGUUAGAACGAUACCGAUCAUGUGCAUGCUCCCCAAAAUAUGGCCUCUAUGACCCACACGCGUCUUUUGACGCUCAUGACGAGACCUCAGGUCAGGCGGGGCUACCCGCUGAAUUUAAGCAUAUCAAUAAGCGGAGGA
RNAcentral lists this unclassified non-coding RNA (395 nucleotides) under soil metagenome. RNAcentral describes it as "partial contains 5.8S ribosomal RNA, internal transcribed spacer 2, and large subunit ribosomal RNA". The stretch from base 1 to 122 matches the Rfam family "5.8S ribosomal RNA", at positions 35 to 154 of the family's 154-position model. The record is from RNAcentral.